RNAcentral lists this long non-coding RNA (1802 nucleotides) under Equus asinus (donkey). RNAcentral describes it as "lncRNA (ENSEASG00005023581.1)". The record is from RNAcentral. Lineage: Eukaryota; Metazoa; Chordata; Mammalia; Perissodactyla; Equidae.
AGCAUAAAAUAUCUUUCCAUUUUCUUUAUGUCUUCUUAAAUUUCUUUCAAUGAAUAUCUUAUAGUUUUCAUUGAUAGGUCUUUCACUUCCUUGGUUAAAUUUAUUUCUAGGUAUUUUAUUCUAUUUGUUGUGAUCCUAAAUGGAAUUGUAUUCUUGAGUUCUCUUUCUGCUAGUUUGUUAUUAGUGUUUAGAAAUGCAACUGAUGUUUGUAUGUGGAUUUUGUACCCUGCAACUAUACUGUAUUCAUUAAUUAUUUCUAAUAGUUUUUUCCUGGAUUCUGUAGAGUUUUCUAUAUUUGGAAUUAUGUCCAAAAAAUCUAAAAAUACUGAGUUAAACACUUUGUCAAAGAAGUGCUUGUUUUCUCAUUUCCUAAAGCGGAAGUUUAUGACAGAGAAAAAUAUGCCGUGUAGUAAAAGACAUUUCAGCUUUUUAUGAGCUGGCUUUUCACAUUCCUUGUUUGUCCUUUUAAUUUGUUUCUUGAUAUAUGAAGACUAUAAACUUGAAACAAAGAGUUAGCUAUCAGAUCUUGAUAAUAAUAUUAUAAUUGGAGAAACAUAAUAGAAAAAAUAGAUACUUUAUGAUAUUGUGAUAAUUCUGAUGAUCUGAAGAUAAUGUCUUGGCAAGUUACAUUUACAUUUCAGGCUCUUGGAUGUCAAUUACUUACAAUAACAUUAAGAUAGUAUUAUUUUUAAUUGCUACAAAGUGGUAAGCUUUUUAUUUAAACAUCCAGCAAGGAGAAAGAAGGCAUUUUGUUAUUAUAAACACACACUUCCCAAAGUAAAUAGUCUUUCAAAAUAACAGGCAUGCCAAGUCUUAGUGAGUUUUGUUAAACCUCCUUAACUGUCUGCCGUGCCCCCGACUUCUUUCAAAUGGAUGUGCAUGGAUGUGGAAAACAAUCCAUUUAUUAUACAUGCCUCAUCUUUACCCUUUAGGAUCCUACUAAAUGUGUUUUACCUGGUACUGUUUAUUAAAGAUGGAAGCUGUCUUGAUUUAGAGACAAUUCAUGUAAGGUAGGUUAAGCAGUCAAAUAUUUCUUGAGGCUUAUGUUCAGCACCUCAGCCACCUACUGAGAAGUUAAUUAAUUCAGUCCAAAAUGAAAUUAUAGGGCAGUUUAGUGCUGUUUGUGUUAACUGCCAUUGGAAUAUAAUCACCUGUGUUACCAUGAAUGAGGAACAACUGUAUUAGACAGAGGUGGAAUGCUGCACAGGAACAAGAAGAGAAGUGCUUUGGCAGGAAGAAUAUCUGUCCUUGUGGUCAGAAUUUAUCAAAACUCAUUGUCUUUUUAAAAAGUGAAUUAUUGAAUGGCUGUGGAAAGCAUUGUAAUAGAAAUAUGAAGGAGAAGAAAAGAUAAAUUCCAUCCGAACACAUCUGGGAGAACUGGAAGAAGUGCUGUUUGAGCCAGGACUUGAAGUGGAGCCUACUUCCCCUCCCCUUGAAUAUGGACUUAGUGAUUCUCUCCUAAUGAAUAGAAUAUGGUGGAAGUGAUGCUGUAUGACUCGUGAGGCUAGGUCAUAAAAAGGAUAGCUUAUCCCUAAGCACUCUCUCGGAUCACUCACUUUGAGGGAAGCCAGCAACUACACUCAAACAGUCCUGGAAGAGGCACAUGUGGAGAGGAGCUGAGACCACCCACCAGCCAGCACCGGCUUUUGAGGGAACCACUUCGGAAGCAGAUCCUCAAGCCCAGGCAUGACUGCAACGUGCUGAGAAAUUCCAAGCCAGAACCACCAGCCAAGCGCCUCCUAAAUUCUUGACCUAUAGAAACGGAUAAUAAGAUAAUAAAUGUUUAUUGUUUUAACCAGUAA